AACGCUAGCUACAGGCUUAACACAUGCAAGUCGAGGGGCAGCAUGGUCUUAGCUUGCUAAGGCCGAUGGCGACCGGCGCACGGGUGAGUAACACGUAUCCAACCUGCCGUCUACUCUUGGACAGCCUUCUGAAAGGAAGAUUAAUACAAGAUGGCAUCAUGAGUCCGCAUGUUCACGUGAUUAAAGGUAUUCCGGUAGACGAUGGGGAUGCGUUCCAUUAGAUAGUAGGCGGGGUAACGGCCCACCUAGUCUUCGAUGGAUAGGGGUUCUGAGAGGAAGGUCCCCCACAUUGGAACUGAGACACGGUCCAAACUCCUACGGGAGGCAGCAGUGAGGAAUAUUGGUCAAUGGGCGAGAGCCUGAACCAGCCAAGUAGCGUGAAGGAUGACUGCCCUAUGGGUUGUAAACUUCUUUUAUAAAGGAAUAAAGUCGGGUAUGGAUACCCGUUUGCAUGUACUUUAUGAAUAAGGAUCGGCUAACUCCGUGCCAGCAGCCGCGGUAAUACGGAGGAUCCGAGCGUUAUCCGGAUUUAUUGGGUUUAAAGGGAGCGUAGAUGGAUGUUUAAGUCAGUUGUGAAAGUUUGCGGCUCAACCGUAAAAUUGCAGUUGAUACUGGAUAUCUUGAGUGCAGUUGAGGCAGGCGGAAUUCGUGGUGUAGCGGUGAAAUGCUUAGAUAUCACGAAGAACUCCGAUUG
Molecule: ribosomal RNA, 694 nt
Filed under: uncultured bacterium
Lineage: Bacteria
Description: bacterial SSU rRNA
Rfam family: Bacterial small subunit ribosomal RNA
Source: RNAcentral